GCCAAUUUACCUGGUAAUGGAGUCGACAUCAUCACCAAUUGUGGAGUGUAAGCUCUGUUGUAAAUUUGUUCCGAUUAAAAAUGAGUUUGAAAGUUAAUGGCUCAAAUAAAAGUUGAAAUAAAUCAAACCUACAAAAUUACACAGUUUUGCCAAUUCUCAGCAUACGAUCAUCCAAAGACACAAUGGAGAAGGAUUCAAUUAAAUAAUUUAUGAACAAACUUAAAACAGGAUGACUGAAGAAAGACAAGUUUAAAAAUAGGUUUACAGCAGAAAUAGUAAUACCACUUGGCACUUGAGAACUGAGGUUCCAUGCCAAGAGGUUUACAUAACCAGUUGAAAUAGCUCAAUUUAUAUCGGAUAAAGUAGCUCGAUUCUCAAAAGAUUAACCUAUCGGGUGAAGUCAAUCGACUAUUGCUAGUGCUAAGAAUGAGAGAAAAUGACACAAACUGUGCUAUAGUGCUGGUGCUAGCUCGUUCCACGCCCCUAUCCCACAUAUUUCCUCGGGACCCCUAUUAGCUCUUGGGGUUCUGAGUAACAAGGAAGGAGAGCGGUAUUCAUAAUAUCUACCAGAAAGUAUAUAUAGAGACACCUAGCAGUAAAGUUAACAUACAAAUCUAGAAGUAUAGACAGUAACUCAACCUCAAAGUUACAGUCCCUGAUUGUCAGAUUCAUAUAUCAGAUGCUAAGGUAUCUGUUCCCAAACUACAGAAUUUGACUCUUACCCAGGUGGUUAUUAAACAACUUACUACUAUUGAAACCCGAGUUGCCAUUUUCUCGAACAACACUGAAAGAUGCCAUCAAAGUCAUUGGCUGUCAGGUUCACUUGUUCGUUGUCGACUCCAAUUAC
This 847-nucleotide long non-coding RNA is filed under the name Olea europaea (common olive). RNAcentral describes it as "long non-coding RNA (OEUR_LNC015562)". The record is from RNAcentral. Lineage: Eukaryota; Viridiplantae; Streptophyta; Magnoliopsida; Lamiales; Oleaceae.